UACAGAGGGGGCAAGCGUUAUUCGGAAUUAUUGGGCGUAAAGGGCGCGUAGGCGGCCAACUAAGUCAGACGUGAAAUCCCUCGGCUUAACCGGGGAACUGCGUCUGAUACUGGAUGGCUUGAGAUUGGGAGAGGGAUGCGGAAUUCCAGGUGUAGCGGUGAAAUGCGUAGAUAUCUGGAGGAACACCGGUGGCGAAGGCGGCAUCCUGGACCAACACUGACGCUGAUGAGCGAAAGCCAGGGGAGCAAACGGG
RNAcentral lists this ribosomal RNA (253 nucleotides) under uncultured bacterium. Its description in RNAcentral is "partial 16S ribosomal RNA". It matches the Rfam family "Bacterial small subunit ribosomal RNA", at positions 524 to 776 of the family's 1533-position model. The record is from RNAcentral.